AACGAACGCUGGCGGCAGGCCUAACACAUGCAAGUCGAGCGAAGCCUUCGGGCUUAGCGGCGGACGGGUUAGUAACGCGUGGGAACGUGCCUCUCUCUACGGAAUAGUCCCGGGAAACUGGGUUUAAUACCGUAUACGCCCUUUGGGGAAAGAUUUAUCGGAGAGAGAUCGGCCCGCGUUAGAUUAGAUAGUUGGUGGGGUAACGGCCUACCAAGUCUACGAUCUAUAGCUGGUUUGAGAGGAUGAUCAGCAACACUGGGACUGAGACACGGCCCAGACUCCUACGGGAGGCAGCAGUGGGGAAUCUUAGACAAUGGGCGCAAGCCUGAUCUAGCCAUGCCGCGUGAGUGAAGAAGGCCUUAGGGUCGUAAAGCUCUUUCGCCUGUGAAGAUAAUGACGGUAGCAGGUAAAGAAACCCCGGCUAACUCCGUGCCAGCCGCCGCGGUAAU
Molecule: ribosomal RNA, 449 nt
Filed under: uncultured bacterium
Lineage: Bacteria
Description: bacterial SSU rRNA
Rfam family: Bacterial small subunit ribosomal RNA
Source: RNAcentral